This is a long non-coding RNA of Dermacentor albipictus, 255 nucleotides long. RefSeq lists it as uncharacterized. The record is from RefSeq and is a predicted model, not a curated record. Lineage: Eukaryota; Metazoa; Arthropoda; Arachnida; Ixodida; Ixodidae.
UGCGUUCGCUGCCUUCGUUGUCCUCAAUGCGUCUUUGUACAUCGCAGUUCGGAUAACACUUUUUGCGCUGGACAUCCUUCUUGUCCAUUGGCACUAGCUGGAUGACGGGACCUCAGCAUGAUCAGUGGAAAAGGAAGGGCCUGGGCGCCUCUUUGCAGAGCCGACCUCGGGACCACUCCACCUCGAGGAAGAAGAGAGCACCUGUCCCCCUCCCCCAUAGAGCACCCCUUUUCUGCCGCAAGGCUUCGCCUAUUA